CUGCAGCCUCAGGCAGCGCUGCCCAGUGCCAGAGGAAGAUGAAGGUGGCUGUGCUCGGCGUGGCCCUGCUCUUCUCCAUGCUGCUGUGCACCCCGGCACAGGCCAAGGCACUCCUGGAAGGAACCCAGGAUGAUCUGGAGGAGCUGGACUUGGGCAAGGUCGAGAUCCCGGAGCCGACCGUGGACGUGCUGGGAAAAGACCUGAGGCUGCGCCGGCUCCUGCGGCAGAAGCGCCUGGCGGCCUCUCUGGAUGCCUAGGGUCGGCAGCGUCGGUGCCGUCCGUGUCCUGUCCUCCUCCGGCGGCACGAGGAGAUGAUCGUCCCUGGAGGAGCCCCCCGAUCCCCUUUGAGCCCGGGGCCGUUUCCCCUCAAUAAUCAAUAAACCCUUUCAGCAGA
Molecule: long non-coding RNA, 394 nt
Organism: Prinia subflava (tawny-flanked prinia)
Lineage: Eukaryota; Metazoa; Chordata; Aves; Passeriformes; Cisticolidae
Exons: 5
Source: RefSeq, a predicted model, not a curated record